CCUACGGGCGGCAGCAGUGGGGAAUAUUGCACAAUGGGCGCAAGCCUGAUGCAGCCAUGCCGCGUGUGUGAAGAAGGCCUUCGGGUUGUAAAGCACUUUCAGCGGGGAGGAAGGCGUUAAGGUUAAUAACCUUGGCGAUUGACGUUACCCGCAGAAGAAGCACCGGCUAACUCCGUGCCAGCAGCCGCGGUAAUACGGAGGGUGCAAGCGUUAAUCGGAAUUACUGGGCGUAAAGCGCACGCAGGCGGUCUGUCAAGUCGGAUGUGAAAUCCCCGGGCUCAACCUGGGAACUGCAUUCGAAACUGGCAGGCUAGAGUCUUGUAGAGGGGGGUAGAAUUCCAGGGGUAGCGGUGAAAUGCGUAGAGAUCUGGAGGAAUACCGGUGGCGAAGGCGGCCCCCUGGACAAAGACUGACGCUCAGGUGCGAAAGCGUGGGGAGCAAACAGGAUUAGAUACCGGGUAGUC
RNAcentral lists this ribosomal RNA (464 nucleotides) under uncultured Klebsiella sp. RNAcentral describes it as "bacterial SSU rRNA". It matches the Rfam family "Bacterial small subunit ribosomal RNA", at positions 338 to 795 of the family's 1533-position model. Lineage: Bacteria; Pseudomonadati; Pseudomonadota; Gammaproteobacteria; Enterobacterales; Enterobacteriaceae. The record is from RNAcentral.